UCUUUUUCACAGAAGCCAUACUCUCUAUAAAACUCUCUUGCCCUAAACUCUCCUCUGCCUUCUCUCUAGAUUUCUGAAAAAUUUAACCAUCCAAACUUAAUUCUGAAGGUGUUCAAGCGUUCACUGCGUAGAGACCUUCCUUUCUACCGAACAUUUUCUUCUUUCCGAUUGGUGAGUCAUUUUUCCCUUUUUCUCCACUAUUUCUAGCAUCAAGGGCAUGCAACUUUGCUGGUUUCAUGUUCCUCAUGCGUUUUUCCUUCCAUUCCCUGCCUAUCUGAGUUCUAAGGAUUGUGUUCUAU
RNAcentral lists this long non-coding RNA (299 nucleotides) under Vigna radiata. Its description in RNAcentral is "long non-coding RNA (VRAD_LNC017326)". Lineage: Eukaryota; Viridiplantae; Streptophyta; Magnoliopsida; Fabales; Fabaceae. The record is from RNAcentral.